Grammomys surdaster is the source of this 1092-nucleotide long non-coding RNA. RefSeq lists it as uncharacterized. The transcript is spliced from 3 exons. NCBI's taxonomy places the organism in Eukaryota, Metazoa, Chordata, Mammalia, Rodentia, Muridae. The record is from RefSeq and is a predicted model, not a curated record.
GAUGUGACUAGUCCUACUUCAAUUCGACAUGCCAGAGGGGCUCCAUAUCCAAGGUAGACCUCCUCUUCAAGAAGUAAAAGAGAGAGAGGAUGGAGGAAAGGUAGGAGCUCCGCUGGGUAUUCCCCCCCACCAUGGUAAAUCAGGUCUCUGUGGAAGUGCAUCCUCUCCCACUGAGGCCAGACAAGGCAGCCAGCUAGAAGAACAUAUCUGAUGUGCAGGCAACAGCUUUUGGGAUAGCUCAGCUCCAAUUGUUAGGGACUCACAUGAAGAUCAAACUACAGAUCUGCUACAAAUGUGCAAGUGAGGCCUAGAAUUCAGCCUUUGUAUGGUCUUUGGUUGAUGGUUCAGCCUCUGAAGAUCCCCAAGCUGCAUCUACUGUUUAAAUAUGACAUCUCCUUCCCACAGUUUUUCAACCCAUUCCACCUCCCACUUGUCUCCAAAGGUGUGUUCUGCCUGUCCCACUAUACCAGCCAUCUCCCUUCACUGAGUACUCAAGUCUCUACAGGAUUAGGCACAUCCUAUCCUGCUUGGGCCAGCCCAGGGAGUCUUCUGCUAUCAGAAGCCUUAGGCCAGUCCUUAUAUACUCCCUGGUUACUGGCCAUGUCUCUAGGAGCUCCUAAAGAUCCAGAUUAAAUGCAAACUUCAUCAAUAUUCCAACUCAAUUCUUAACAGAAAUAGAAAGAACAAUUCUCAAAUUCUUCUGGAAUAAUAAACAAAAAACCCAGGACAUUGUGAAGUAUUCUCAAAAAUAAGAGAAUUUAAGGGAGAAUCACCAUCUCUGACCUCAAGCUGUAGUAUGGAGAAAUCUUAAUAAAAGCCACAUGGUAUUGGUACAGAGAUAAACAGGUAGAUCAAUGGAAUAGAAUUGAAGACCCAGAAUUAAAUCCACACAUCUAUGAUCAUCUGAUCUUUGACAAAGUAUCCAAAACCAUCCAGUGGAAAAAAGACAUCAUAUUCAACAAAUGGUACUGGCCUAAAUCAUGGUCUCAGCAUGUUGAAGAAUGCAAACUGAUCCAUUUUUAUUUCUUGUACAAAGCUCAAGUCCAAGUAGAUCUAGGAUCUCUACAUAAAACAAGAUACACUGAAUCUAAU